CAGUCGCCGCGGGAAUACGAAGGGGGCUAGCGUUGUUCGGAAUUACUGGGCGUAAAGCGCACGUAGGCUGCUUUGUAAGUCAGAGGUGAAAUCCCAAGGCUCAACCUUGGAACUGCCUUUGAUACUGGGGAUCUCGAGUUCGGGAGAGGUGAGUGGAACUGCGAGUGUAGAGGUGAAAUUCGUAGAUAUUGGAAAGAACACCGGUGGCGAAGGCGGCGACCUGGUCUUUAACUGACGCUGAGGCGCGAAAGCGUGGGGAGCAAACAGGAUUAGAUACCCGUGUAGUCCCUGUCUCUUAUAC
This 301-nucleotide ribosomal RNA is filed under the name uncultured bacterium. Its description in RNAcentral is "partial 16S ribosomal RNA". It matches the Rfam family "Bacterial small subunit ribosomal RNA", at positions 509 to 807 of the family's 1533-position model. The record is from RNAcentral.